GUGCCAGCAGCCGCGGUAAUACAGAGGUGGCAAGCGUUGUUCGGAUUUACUGGGCGUAAAGGGUGCGUAGGCGGUUGCGUGUGUCGGAUGUGAAAUCUCACUGUUCAUCGGUGAAACUGCAUUCGAAACUACGUAACUCGAGUACUGGAGAGGAGAGCGGAAUUCUUGGUGUAGCGGUGAAAUGCGUUGAGAUCAAGAAGAACGCCGGUGGCGAAGGCGGCUCUCUGGACAGAAACUGACGCUGAGGCACGAAAGCUAGGGGAGCAAACAGGAUUAGAUACCCUGGUAGUCCUAGCCGUAAACGUUGUGCACUUGGUGUGGGAGGAGUUUACCCCUUCCGUGCCGUAGCUAACGUGUUAAGUGCACCGCCUGGGGAGUACGGCCGCAAGGCUAAAACUCAAAGAAAUUGACGGGGGCCCGCACAAGCGGUGGAGCAUGUGGCUUAAUUCGAUGCAACGCGAAGAACCUUACCUGGGCUUGACAUGGCGAGACUUCGGUCUAAACCGGUGAAAGUCGGUUGAACGCACACAGGUGCUGCAUGGCUGUCGUCAGCUCGUGCCGUGAGGUGUUGGGUUAAGUCCCGCAACGAGCGCAACCCUUGUGGGUAGUUGCCACCCCCGUUCUGCGGGGAGCACUCUACUCAGACUGCCCGUGACAAGCGGGAGGAAGGUGGGGAUGACGUCAAGUCCGUAUGGCCCUUAUGCCCAGGGCUGCACACGUGCUACAAUGGUCGGUACAGAAAGAUGCAAGACCGCGAGGUGGAGCAAAUCUCCAAAACCGGCCCCAGUUCGGAUUGCAGUCUGCAACUCGACUGCAGAAGCCGGAAUCG
RNAcentral lists this ribosomal RNA (829 nucleotides) under uncultured organism. RNAcentral describes it as "bacterial SSU rRNA". It matches the Rfam family "Bacterial small subunit ribosomal RNA", at positions 505 to 1334 of the family's 1533-position model. The record is from RNAcentral.